Molecule: long non-coding RNA, 10598 nt
Organism: Leopardus geoffroyi (Geoffroy's cat)
Lineage: Eukaryota; Metazoa; Chordata; Mammalia; Carnivora; Felidae
Exons: 2
Source: RefSeq, a predicted model, not a curated record
UUCUUUGCCCUUCCCCUGCUCACACUCUGUCACUCUCUGUCUCUCUCAAAAAUAAACUUUAAAAAAAUUGAAAAGCUAAGUGAUAAGCCAUGGACCAGGAGAGAAUAUUUGCAGCCAGUACAGUUGACCAAGGGUUAUUAAUGAUAAUAUUUGAUGGACUCCCUCAUCUCAGGAACAAAAAAGACAACCCGAUAGAAAAAUCGGCCAAAGCAAUGAACAAUGCGCGGAAAAGGAAAUCUGAAAAGUAACCGGGAACAUGCAAAUCGAAACAAUGACCUGCCAUUUUCCAUGUCAGAUUGACAAAAAAAAUCCAACUUUGAGAACAUCCGAUGCUUCACAGGGUGUGGAAAUGUGGGCCCAGUAAAACAUUGCUGAUGGGAUAUAAAAUCGCUUUAGAGAGCAAUUUGGCAAUACCCACACAGCUGAACAAAGGCUUACAAAACAAUUCCAGUGUCGACAUCCGACCUAGAGAAACUCUCAAACAAGCAAAGAGGAAAUAAGUAAAUAUACAAGGAUGUUUGCUGCAACACUUUAAAUAAAAAGAAAAAUAUGGAAACAACUGUCUAUCAGUUAUGGAUUAAAAAAAAAAAACCUGUAAAAAGAAUACGAAAAUAGCAACUGUAAGAAAUGAAAGUGUGUGUGUGUGUGUGUGUGUACCUACAUAAGCUAAAAAGCAAAAUGUUGAGUGAAAACAAGUUGGGAGAAACUUAAGGCACAUGAAAAUUACACAUGCCAACUGUAGAACACUGAUUAUUUCUGGGAAGGGAGAGUGAGAAAAAGAAUAGGACUAGGAUGACUGUAUAUCUACAGUGAUUUAUUAACAGUAAAAGAGUGAUUGCUAGCAAAGAUGGCAAAAUGUUGACGUCUGUUAAAUCCACGUAGUACGUGAGUGUUUAUAAGAUUAUUUUUCACACUUUAUAUAAACAAAACAUUUCAUAAUGAAAGCAGAAGAAAAAGAUCAUGGCCUCAUGCUCAUGGUAAUAUUUCAACUGAAGUAAUAUUUGACCCCUCCCACUCCCCAGAUGAACUGCACCCAGAAUGCAGCAAGGGCUUUCUCUAAGGCCAGAGCUCUACAACACUCUGUAUGGAAAGAGUUGACUCACAAGUGGGGCUCCUGGUGAGGAAGAAGACAGAUGUUGAAGUAGCUGUGGGUCUUGGCAAAAGGCAAGGAGGGAAAAGAGGAGACCGGGGCAAACCGAAUGAAUGAAUUCCAUCCUGAGGAUGUCUGUGUAAACCAAGCCAGAUGGAACCUGUGAAUGCAUGUGCUCUCUUCCCACACCCCCUCCAGAUGACAGCCAUGAAACAGGUCGUUCCCUGGAUCAGAUUCGUAGGAGGCACCGGAGUCCGUCCGACGGUCAACGUGGAAGCAGAUGUGAGCUGGCAAUUGUGCAGCGGCGAAAAGAAAACACUCAUUUGGUUUGCCUCCUUGGGUUUCACUUUGCGCCUCUCCAGACUGUCUUCUCCCCGACUUCCACUAGAGGGCGCCGAGCCCCCAGCUGUGCCGGCUCUCCAAGUAGGGGUCUUUUCUGAUCCUGGUCCCAGGGGCCUGCUGCAGAGACUCCAGAGGAUUCUGGAUCCAGUUUGGGGUUCAGGGUUCCCUCAAAAGGUGAUCCUUCGACCCCCUGGAGAGGGUGGGGACCUGUGAGAGCCUUAUACUUCAGGACUGGGAUUUCGGAAACCCCAAUGAAGGCUUUCUUUUUUGAUCUUCUCUGUUUCAAAAGGGCACUGGCAGAGAUGAAUUAUGUUGGAUCCCAGGUCUCUGGGGACUCUACUUCCUGAACCCCGAUUGCCAGGCCCCUGCAAACACAUAUGUGCUUAUGGGAGCACUAGACUGGAAUAUUUGAAACCAGAACUCCAGAAAAUCCACAACAGAUGUUUUCCCUGAAAGACACAGGCUCUCUAUCACCGAGCCCCCGGGGUCUCCCUGCCCCCUGCCAGCCAUGCUCCUGCAUUGGCAUUGUGUGGGUGAGGGGGAUCACGCCUGACUUAAAAUUCUAAUGGACAGGUCAGUGCUUCCUGGGGCUGUAAGUAGGCUCCCUCUCAGCAUGCUCUGUAAGCAGGAAGGUAUGAUGAAUGUCUACCAACCCUGUCCUGCCUGCCCCAUUCUUUGUUUCUCCAGGUUCUGUGUUUGAGGACCUAAUUUUGAGCGACCUGCCCCUGUUGAAAUUACUUCUGCCACUUUGGAACGUCUGCUGAGAAUAACCAGGAUCCGCAUUUCCACUGCACUUUGUGCCUCACAACAUACUUUUGCGGGUACUGUGCCAUCGGAUACUUCCGUGUCCAUAAGGCAUGACUCCUCCCCUUCCCACCUCACGGAUGAGAACAACAAGGUCCAGAACGAGUAAGGGCUGACCCUGGGACUUGAACUCACAUCAUGUGAUUCAAAAGGGAUUGCACAUAUAUUUGGGGAUCUUGGCAAUAUUAAGAAUUCAUUUGGGUUUGACUCCAGGGAAACCCUUCAGACUCCCCGAGCUUCACAUGGGUGUGCAUUAUGAGGAAAUUAUGACAUUCCCUCCAGACACUCUUCAGAAAAUGGCAGCACGUAUUUUUCCUGGACUGGUUGAAGGGCAUCCUUUCUUAGGGCAGCGGGAUGGACUGGACAAGCCCUGGAGGUAGCUUCUAGCCGUUCUGUUCUGCGGAACAAAGCAUCCAGAAAUAGACGAAUCGGUCCCUUUUACCCCAAUAACAUUUGUGGCUAACUGUAUGAAAACAAGCCAUUUCCAGUCUAAUUCAUAACUACCGUAGAGUCGUUUUAGGAGGUGCUCAUCUCAGUAAUAGAUUCAAAAAUUCUCUCCGGCUUAAGACCUCAUUGUUCUGGAGCACGGCGGCUGUCCCGCGUGAAGCAUGCAGUUCUCCCCGUGGCCACAGGGUGGCGGGGUGACCUUAAGCUUCUUCCUCGCCUUUGGACAGGAAACGCAGCUCUCAUCAAAAUGAGCAAAAUGGAGCAAGUCGAGCGGGUUCAGAGUGACAUACACUUCACGUUUAUAACCCCUUAAGAAGGGAGCGGCAAGCGCUCUGUUUCCAGAAUGUCAGCGAUGGGAGGUAGUGAGGAGAGGGGAUGCUGGGUUCUGAGGCAGUGGAAGAGGCUCGUAGUGUGGAGGGCCCGGUCUACUGCAGCCCAUGGCCCGGUUACCUGGCCGAGGCCGAGGGGGCCGUGCCCUGCGGAAGCCCACCGUUGGGCCUUCCAAAACUAUUGCUGUUCCCCUUCUCUGUCUCGGAACGUUCUUUCCUGGGGCUCUGUUUUUAUAGAUUGUCCCCAGGAUGUCCUCGUUAUGUCUUAAAGGGGUGCUUUGUGCUGUAUAAGUUGGGGAGGGGUGUGAUGCACCCUCCAAUGGGCAGCAACCCCUUUGUGAGCCUCAAAUUGAGACAUAGGCUUCUGACAUGAGGGGCCGUAUUUUGGGGGAACGGUGAGGAGAUAUUUAAAUGUGAAUUCUGGGUUGUACAGGCACCUCCCACCCACACACGGUGGAAGCCUAGAGAGACUUGAGGGAGCAUUUACUUCUUGCCUACUGUGUGCAUCAUGAUGCAGGUGCGAACUUCCGUGGGGCCAACGCGGACCUUACUAGGUGCCCACGGUAGGCGGAUUGAGCAGGAGCCUGACCCACCCCACUGAUGCCCACAUGGAAACUGUGAGCUUUCACCUCCCGCACUUCUGCCAAAGCCCUGGAUGCCACCGUGUGGAGACAGCAGAGGUUUAGUGUCAUUAGCUCUAGUCUUCUUAGCCGGCCUGGCAGAAGCGAUGUUGAAUUUCAACGUGGGAAGUUUCCAAGCACAUCUUGAGGGAUGCAGGAGCCUCUAACACUUUUCUGUAGACGUGAUUAAUAUUCCUUUGCUCAAAUUUGAGACCCACGGGUGGGUGUUUGUGUAUCAGGCCCACGCACACAUAACACACACAUGCCACGGAAUGGGGAGGCAUUGCCGUUCGGGUUUCAAGACGGAGGCUGCGUGUAAUAGCUUCUUUCCUCCUUCUGGAUUCGCUUUCGCUUCCAUAUUUAUGUCAUUCACUUAUUAAUCGUUUGCAGGUAUUCUCAGAACACCUACUGUGUGCCAGGCAAAUUAAAAUGAGUCAGAGUCAAGCUUAUUUUUAGAAAAAGACAGACCCCAGGGAAUCCAUCCUUUUUUUGGUAGGGAAAAGGCAGGGCUGAGCCGUGUGGCUGAGAACGCGGGUCUGGAGCUGCCGCCUGGGUGGGAGUCCUGGUGCAGGUGCUCCCUGUCUGUGUGUGGUUCGCUCAGCUUCAUCUUCGUAUGUGGGUAAUGGUAGGACCCACAUCACUCUGUUGUCGUCAGGAGCAAACGAACGAGUAAGAGGGGCUCUGUACCAUGCACGUGGAAAGAACACAAUACACACAGAGCCCUUACUCUUCUUUUCUCCUUGUGAACUAAAGCUCCCCAGGAUGCUCGUUAGGCUGAGAUCUCUCCUGUGCUUAUGGACCAGCUAACAUGGAGACUGAGGAUGAACUGGACCCGGCUGUUUCUGUUCUGGUUGCUGGGGGCAGCUGAGGAGGCCUGUCAUCGCGGCCAGCAGGGAAGAAGCAGGUGGUGACAGAAUGAGCUCAGUGAUGAGCCAUCCCUCUGGUGAGUGGAGCAGGGGGGUGAAGACGGGCGACCCCUGCUGUGGCCCCGACUCUGAUCGAGGUGACUGCCUGGGAGUCACCAUCCUCCUGAGACAUCACUUGCCGGUCUUUACACAAACUGCAGUCCCUUAAGGAGAUUGUGACCCUCAGAAACAAAGAAGGACCCUUCUUCGGUCAAGACGAUUCUAGGGCAUCAGGAGAUCACGUUUAGAGACAGUCCAAGCUCUGGUUUCUGAGGGAUCCCCCAGGUCAUGGAGCCCCCGUGUCACCUUUUAGGGCUCAGUGAUCGCGGCACAUGCUGGUGCCCAUGGAGCAAGGCACCCCUGACAGGGUAGAGUCUACACAUUUCAGUCGGGUCUUUCUAGAGUUGUGGCUUCACCCUGGUUCUUCUAACCUCAUCCCUGAAGAUGUGUGGGAAGGAGCCAUGUGCAUUCUUCCCCAAGCCUUGAGUCCCCUGGGUCAAGAAUGAGUGACCCCAAGCUCUCAGGAGAGGGGGGGGGGCAGCUCCUGUAAGGGAGGCUCCAAAUGGCUGUGAGCUGAGAUCCACUGGGGGGCUUCAGGCUGCCCUAAAACCAGGCCUGCAGUGGCUAAUGGGCAGGUGUGGUGGAAUUGUGGGUAGCUCGGUGACACCUCGGUGCCACUCAAGGGGGUGCUUUGUAAACGUCUUCUGGGAGAGCGAUGGGGAGAGGGCAUGAGUGAGCAAGAAGGCCCAACACCAGGCCCCAGAGGGGCGAUGAGAUACCAUAGGAGGGGUGAAGCUGGGGAUCUGAGGUUCUUUGUUAGCCAGGUGACCUUGAGUAGGCUAUUUCACCUUGUGGGGCCUCACUUUUCAAACCUAUAAAACAGGAAGAAAAAAUGUUGCCUCCAUCACUAGGCUGGAUCAACACGAGUCCAGCUGCUGUGUGCAGGUGGCCGUGCUCCUUGAACAGAGGCUUCUGCUCUGGGACUGGCCUGUCUGCAUUGCCCAUCCAGGCAUUCCUGGGGUGCCCCCUGCCUGCCUCCAGCUCCGUCUGUCCCAGGUGAGGAGCACUUGAGCUGUCUGCAGCCCGUCCGUCCUCAUCACACGGCCAACACGUGGCCUUUCAGGAGCUAGGUCCAGGUCAGGCUCGAAGUCAUCAAGCUCUGACCUCACCAAACUUCCUCCUUCCUCACUCUGCCUUCCACGUGUGCUGUGCUCCCUCAUGCUGAGGUCCCUGUGGGGCGCCUCACCUUUGCUGACACCCUUUCCUUCACCCAAACCCUCAGGUUCCUCAGUCUCCAGGACUGGUUGCCGUUCAGCCAACGGGGCAACACAGGCUUCAUGGUGGUAACACCAUAACCUCCCACCCCCUCCCACCGUCAAUCCAAAGUGCUCUCUCUGCAGUGCCUCAAGGUUGGCAUAAAGAACAAUAUUUGAGCCCCAUGGCAGGGCCAAGGGGCUGGAAAUUCCUCUUAUCCUAGGCUGUUUGGGCAGCUUUGCCCUAGUGUCAGCUUUGCUGCUGUGAUUCCCCCUCAUCCACCUCCAUUUGAGCUUGUGGCAAGGACACUUACAGUGUCCCCUCUCCCUGCACUCCUCCCCACACCCCCCAUGCCCCCAGCACCCAAGCUGCUGGUCUCCCUGCAGGCCCCACUGACAUGGACAGUACGGUAGAUCCGGGAGGGUUCGGGGUUUGCAGCAUGACUAAGAUAUGUUGCCAUUGACAAGAUGCUCAUAGGCUGAGUGGGGGAGACAGCCUGGCUUUAGAUCUGGCCUCAUUCUUGCAUCUGUAAGAUGGAUUCAGGCAGGUGCCUCAGCUGAGCAAUACCAACCAUCCUGGGUGUUCCUCACAUCCGCUGAUGCCAGGCCGUCAUGUGUCCCCAUUGACAAGCAUAUACUGAGCACUUCCUAGGUUCCCAGUACUGCCUGGGGUGCUGGGGGGAACUUUUAGUGAACAAAGCUAUUUGCCUCAUAGAGCUUCUGGUUUCGUGGAGAAACAGAGGAAACGUAAAACAACAUAAAUUGUUAUGUCUAUCAAAGUGGUGAUAAUUACUUAAUUGUUACCUUUGCUUCUGCCCUUGGCAUGCCAGGUGCUGCUACUUCUGGGAAAGAUCUAGAUUGUCUGCUGUGGAUAAGACCUCAUUUGCUUAUUCUGAUGUUUUCAUGCAGUCCUUCUCCGCCAGAGUUCCUCAUGGAAACCACAGAACACAGAACAUGAUCUUAGUGACAAUUUUCUCAGCUCUGCCAAGGGUUGUUCAGAACUAGGACCACUCUGGAUGCAGACGAGAGGAGCAAAUGCACUACAUACAAUGGAUGUCUUAGGGCACUGGGCUUUUAUUCCCCCCUCUGCUUCUUUGUGACAAGUUUUCCAUUUUUCAUCCUCUGAACAUUGGUUUCUCUCGCUUCCUGCCUCUUCUGAAACUUUUGUUUUUUAAUCCCCCUUCUUGGAUUAUUUCCUCUAUCCUUUAUCCUCCUGAACACAGAGGAAGAAACAGAAAUACGGAGCAGAGGUACUUUCAUUAGUGAUGAGUGAUGGUUCUUCUUGAUUUGAAAAUCUACACGCAGAGGGGUGGGAUCUAAGACAAAAAUUGUUGCCAUAGGUAGCCAAACAGGACCUUUUUCAGGUUAACCAUUAAGAAAAAAAAUGAAAUCCACUCAUUUCAUGCUCCUCCCUCCACAGCAGCUGACUUUGCUAAUAGAAUAGGGUUCUCCUGGAUUAGGGGGAAAACAGGGCAAAUGAGAAGCUGGGCAGAAGGAGGUGCUCUGCUGAUGGUGGUGGGAUUUGCAGACUGAGUGCGAGAAUAAGAGGCUCUGGUUAUGAGCAGGAGUCCCUGGGGCCACUGUUAUAUCUUUUUCCUCCUGUCUCUUCCCUAGACCCCUGACUCCUUUUUUCAAGGGCAUGAACCCCAUUCAGUGUGGGCAGAGGCUGUGGUCCCUAUUUACUGCGGUCUGGGGUCUCUCUAACCCUGGGUGGAGCACUUGGAGGACAAGGAGAGAAGUAGGACUUCCUCCUAAAAGUGCCCGGCCCAGCUGUGACUUUGGUUCUGAAAGAAGGCCUUGCAGGUUGAAGACAAUGAUUUGUUAUUGUUACUGUUUAAUAUUCAUCAAAUGCUUGUAAUGUGUUGGACGACAUUGAAAAAGAUUUGUGGUGGGUAAAAUUAAACUGAGCUCAGAACUGGCCUGCUGCCUCCAGGUCUGGCAGGCCAAGUUCUGGUUUCUUCUACUUGUCCACAAGAAUGACCUCAACCAACCAGGAAUGGGAAGCCCCCACUACCAUAGCCCUGCUGAUAAUUCUCCUUUAAAAAGGCAUGAAUUCCUAUAAUCUUUCCUGCCUUGGGUUACAGAGGGGAUGAUGCUAUGGUGACCUUCAAGAAUGAAAGAUCCAGGGAUGCAAGGUGACCCAAAAAGGUGGCAAAGCAAAUCAGUGUGAAUGACAUCUUUGAGCCCAAUCUACAACAUCAGCAAAGCUGGGCUUCAGUUUUUUCCCCUUCCCCUGGUUUGGAUGCUGCCUCUGUAAGACAUGUGGACUCCUCUUGCUCCUCCUGCCUCAAGACCACCUGCCAGGAAAUGAUUACGUAUGCUCAUUUGAACUAAAGAAUGUUAAAGAGAGAGAGAGAGUGCGAAUAGGCCAAAAAUGGAGUCACUUAUGCUAAGCCCCAUGUCACCAAGCUGAGACUUAACACUGCACUUAAUUAUAGUUUCAGUCUCCCUCUGGGAAUCUUAAACCAGUCAGUCUGGAAUUACCUGGUCUGCACUAGUGAGGUAAUCUUCCUGAGACACCCCUGAAGCUCCCUGAAGGAAAGUGAUCUUGCCACAACCAGUUCACUCUUUGCUGGUAAUACUUCCUUGUCCCACUCUCUUCUGCCUGCACAAAUUGAGUUGGAAUGACACUAGGCUACCCACCAACCUCAUGAAAGUGUCCAUGAUACAAGGUAAACUGUAAAACACCACACAAUCCCCAAGCCAAUGGCACAUCCCUCUUAGGUAUUAUUUGGCUCCAAGGUACCAAGGCCUAAUGAAAGAAAUGUGAUCCUUAAGUUCUGAAGACUUGAGUGUGCUAUUUUCUGUUAUACUUGCUUAUUUUAUGUCCAAGAACUGUGGUCCUAGAAACUAAAAGUAUCUACAAAAGGGCAAAAUCUUAACUAAAAACAACUUAAAAUACAAUGACCAUUAUGGGGAGUGUUCCAAUCAGACAAGAUCAUUCUUUGAAGACAUGCACUUGAAAGCAAGGAUUGCUGGGUUAAAAAGACAGAAUAGGAUACGUAUUUUAAUUGGUAUUCACAAGCUUCCGAAGGCUUCAAGAUUUCAAAAUAGCUUUUUCUGAAAGAUUCAUUGCAAAAGCUAAUGAAAAAUUAAAGACACAAGAGGUACCUAAAACAAAAGACUGCAAGGCUGACAUGACUCCUUCUGCUCCUCUCUCUCCUCUUUUACCUGUGUCCUCAUUCCAGUUAUCCUCUGUCUGAAUUGUCUUUCCCUUCUGAACAGAUUACGCAACCAUAAACAGAAGUCUACCAAGUUAAUGACCUUACAGAUAUCCCUGAUAUUUACCUUUGAAGAAGCACUCCCAGGAUGUGCUCUGGGACUCUUGAGGGAUUUUUCUGGUAAACCUCUGUGUUAUUCCCUUAAACAGCCAAGGGAAACUAAAAUUAAAAUUACGGGAAAAUGUUCUGGCAGAUAACGGAGCCUACAGAUGGGAUCCUGGGAAAACUGGCAAAAACCAGGAAAGAGUAAGUCUUCUUACCAUAAUCUCUGCCUGUAGUUUCUACUCAAGGCAAGAAAAUAAAAUUUCCUGUGAUUCCUUCCUUUCCAAAUCCAGACCCGUUGGCUAUUAAUCCUUUCUUUCCCAGGGACAGCCAUUACCUUCUCAUUUGUCUUGUUUUGUGUCCUGAUAAUUUGGCUUUGUAAUGGUCAGAUUGGAAGCCCCAAAAUAUGGCCAGACAGAAAUGUGGUUUGCACCCCAUUUGUGGCAGUCUAUGCGUAGACAGAAAUAUGGGCUGAACUCCAUGUGUGGCUGGGAUCCUACCUGCCAGCCCUCAUGGGAAUUGUCAAAGUCUUGCUUUCUUCUGGUUAUCUUUGGGAGUGGCUCUGGAUCCUAGGAGUAGUAUCUUUUAUACCCUCUUUGUGCUUGCCUAUUACAUCCACGGCAGGUUAUUUAGUAUUUCCAGGAAUAUUUACUCUUUGUCUUGACUGAAAUCUAAGGUGUUUGAAAGGAUUUUUUUUAAGUACCUCUGUGGUCAGAGGUUGGCCAAAUUGAAAGCUGAUUUUCAGAGCCUGAUAGAAAUUUUGUUAGGUCUUCUCUCCUAAGCUAAAUGUACCUGGGGCCAGGAGGGAGGAGCACGUUCUGAAACCUUUUUGAAGGGAUUUACUAAGAGAUUCCAAAGCACAGCUAUAAAUCCAGAACAUAGAAAUAAUGUGGUUUGAUAGGCAGAUCAGCUCCUUGAUAUAAUUUUGGCUGCAGCCCAACUCUUUGAGUAAUUAAAAGCAACUGGCAUUAUCUUACAAAUCUUUGCAAAACAAGAAAUACAGCUCUAGAAACAAUUUAAAAUCCACUUGUUUUUUUUUGGCCAGUCCCAGAAAUUCCCCUAUUUAUCUCAAAAAGCUUGUAAGUAUUGUAAAAAUUCUGACCUUAGGAAACAAAAUCCCUUCUUGAAGCUACUGGUAUUCUUUCCCAUGCCUUUGAGAUGUAAGUGUUCUACCUGGUCUUCUCCAGAAACUCUUAUCUAGGUCACCUCUUUGAAAUGGGAAUUUCAGGGAGGAAACUCUCAAUGGAAGGAAAACAAAGAGGGGAAAGAUGAUUUGCAACUUUGGUGAAUGAAAACUCUUAACUGUGCUAUAGCCACUGAACACGGAACCUUAAGUUAUUCCUUCUGCCAGAAACACAACUGGGAUCUAACUUCUUUUAUAACCAGUGCUCUUUGUAUUAGUUUACCUGAUUCAUUGCCAGAACUUCAGAAUGAAAUCUGCAUCUCUGUUUGUGUCUGUCUGUAGAUUUAUGUGUGUCUCCAUAUUUAUAUGUUAUAAAUGUGUGAUAUUUUUCUACCUCCAGAUUAUAUUGCUAAAUUAAUUUA